RNAcentral lists this ribosomal RNA (316 nucleotides) under Pseudomonas aeruginosa. Its description in RNAcentral is "bacterial SSU rRNA". It matches the Rfam family "Bacterial small subunit ribosomal RNA", at positions 696 to 1011 of the family's 1533-position model. The record is from RNAcentral. Lineage: Bacteria; Pseudomonadati; Pseudomonadota; Gammaproteobacteria; Pseudomonadales; Pseudomonadaceae.
AUCUGGAGGAAUACCGGUGGCGAAGGCGGCCCCCUGGACAAAGACUGACGCUCAGGUGCGAAAGCGUGGGGAGCAAACAGGAUUAGAUACCCUGGUAGUCCACGCCGUAAACGAUGUCGAUUUGGAGGUUGUGCCCUUGAGGCGUGGCUUCCGGAGCUAACGCGUUAAAUCGACCGCCUGGGGAGUACGGCCGCAAGGUUAAAACUCAAAUGAAUUGACGGGGGCCCGCACAAGCGGUGGAGCAUGUGGUUUAAUUCGAUGCAACGCGAAGAACCUUACCUGGUCUUGACAUCCACAGAACUUUCCAGAGAUGGAU